UACGUAGGGUGCGAGCGUUAAUCGGAAUUACUGGGCGUAAAGCGUGCGCAGGCGGUUUUGUAAGCCGGAUGUGAAAUCCCCGGGCUUAACCUGGGAAUGGCAUUCGGGACUGCAAGGCUGGAGUGCGGCAGAGGAGACUGGAAUUCCGCGUGUAGCAGUGAAAUGCGUAGAUAUGCGGAGGAACACCGAUGGCGAAGGCAAUCCCCUGGGCCUGCACUGACGCUCAUGCACGAAAGCGUGGGGAGCAAACAGG
RNAcentral lists this ribosomal RNA (253 nucleotides) under uncultured bacterium. RNAcentral's name for it is "partial 16S ribosomal RNA". It matches the Rfam family "Bacterial small subunit ribosomal RNA", at positions 524 to 776 of the family's 1533-position model. The record is from RNAcentral.